GACGAACGCUGGCGGCGUGCUUAACACAUGCAAGUCGAACGAUGAAGCCUUCGGGUGGAUUAGUGGCGAACGGGUGAGUAACACGUGGGUGAUCUGCCCUGCACUUUGGGAUAAGCCUGGGAAACUGGGUCUAAUACCGAAUAUGGUCAUGCUCUUCAUGGGGUGUGGUGGAAAGCUUUUGCGGUGUGGGAUGGGCCCGCGGCCUAUCAGCUUGUUGGUGGGGUAAUGGCCUACCAAGGCGACGACGGGUAGCCGGCCUGAGAGGGUGACCGGCCACACUGGGACUGAGAUACGGCCCAGACUCCUACGGGAGGCAGCAGUGGGGAAUAUUGCACAGUGGGCGCAAGCCUGAUGCAGCGACGCCGCGUGAGGGAUGACGGCCUUCGGGUUGUAAACCUCUUUCAGCAGGGACGAAGCGCAAGUGACGGUACCUGCAGAAGAAGGACCGGCCAACUACGUGCCAGCAGCCGCGGUAA
Molecule: ribosomal RNA, 476 nt
Filed under: uncultured bacterium
Lineage: Bacteria
Description: partial 16S ribosomal RNA
Rfam family: Bacterial small subunit ribosomal RNA
Source: RNAcentral